AAAAUGAUAAAAUUGAUUUCGACUCAAUUAUAGAUAAUAUUAAUUAUCCAUUUUAA
This 56-nucleotide transfer RNA is filed under the name Necremnus tutae. RNAcentral's name for it is "tRNA-Arg". Lineage: Eukaryota; Metazoa; Arthropoda; Insecta; Hymenoptera; Eulophidae. The record is from RNAcentral.